Molecule: ribosomal RNA, 440 nt
Filed under: uncultured bacterium
Lineage: Bacteria
Description: partial 16S ribosomal RNA
Rfam family: Bacterial small subunit ribosomal RNA
Source: RNAcentral
CCUACGGGAGGCAGCAGUAGGGAAUAUUGCUCAAUGGGGGAAACCCUGAAGCAGCAACGCCGCGUGGAGGAUGAAGGUUUUCGGAUUGUAAACUCCUUUUGUUAGAGAAGAUAAUGACGGUAUCUAACGAAUAAGCACCGGCUAACUCCGUGCCAGCAGCCGCGGUAAUACGGGGGGUGCAAGCGUUACUCGGAAUCACUGGGCGUAAAGAGCGCGUAGGCGGGAUAGCAAGUCAGAUGUGAAAUCCUAGGGCUUAACCCUAGAACUGCAUUUGAAACUGUUAUUCUAGAGUAUGGGAGAGGUAGGUGGAAUUCUUGGUGUAGGGGUAAAAUCCGUAGAGAUCAAGAGGAAUACUCAUUGCGAAGGCGACCUGCUAGAACAUAACUGACGCUGAUGCGCGAAAGCGUGGGGAGCAAACAGGAUUAGAUACCCGAGUAGUC